AUUCGCAAAUAACAAGAGGAAUUCAUGUAAACGGUUCAACAUGGACCAAUAGGGUGUGAUUUGUAUGUCGCCGGGUUGUUUCCGCGUGUCUUCUCUUUUCUCCGCCGAACGACCGGUAGGGUGUGAUUUGGUCAGACCUCAGCUCUCUUUUGCCCAAAUGACUGAAAUUUUACGCUUGAGAGAAAGAUAGAGAGAGAGUUGGGAAUCAAAUCGAUCCUAACCCAAGUGAAUCCGCGUCUGAUUAUCUGAGCACAAGGUGAUUGAGCUUCCUCGAAGAAAGACAAAAGAGCUCCUACAUUUUGAUUGUUAGUCCCCUAACAAUUUGUUCAAGUCAGAUUUGAGGCCAUGUUCAAGGGAGGAGUUUAGAGAGAAGUACAGGAAGGAACAUCCCAGCAACAAAUUGGUCACUACUGUAGUAAUUGUUUUACAUGACCUUUGAAAACACAUUGUCUAGAUAUUUUUAACUUAUUUUUCAAUAAUCAUCUUUAGAUAUCUAGGUAAAAGAACUUAAUAAACUCUGCUAGGGAUCCAGGUGUUGCAUUUUACUAUACUAAACUUAUCCCAAACACUAUACUGUUUAGUUGGUAUUUUAUGGAUGGAAAUUUGCUAGCAUGCUGAUCUUUUUUUAGCUGUUUUCAGUUUGGCUGUGAACACUGCUGGCUAUUCUUCUUUGUUUUCUCAUUCCGUAUUUUUGAAACACCAAUUAUUACUGCAACUAAAAGACCCGCAGCAUCGUGCGCCCCUUUCUACCUAGUUCAUAGCUAAAGGAAGCCAAAUUUUCUUGCGAAAUUAUGUACUGUUCCACUGAGCUUCUCUCUUUUACAAAGCCUUUUAUAUUCCAAGUUUCAUCAUGUCAUCAUGUCAACUGUAAAGGAGAACUUGGGAAACUAAAUUUGUAUAAACAUAUAUCACAUAGCUCCUAGUAGACCUUCGUGGGUUGUUUAUAACCAGUGUUAUAUAUGUAUCUAUAUAUCCAUAUGACCAUAUGUAGAUGUAUAAGGGUGAUGCAAAGUAUAUAUAUGUAUGAGUUUUGAUGGAUUUGUUGGA
Long non-coding RNA from Rosa rugosa (rugosa rose), 1047 nucleotides. RefSeq lists it as uncharacterized. The transcript is spliced from 3 exons. NCBI's taxonomy places the organism in Eukaryota, Viridiplantae, Streptophyta, Magnoliopsida, Rosales, Rosaceae. The record is from RefSeq and is a predicted model, not a curated record.